Molecule: long non-coding RNA, 183 nt
Organism: Corvus hawaiiensis (hawaiian crow)
Lineage: Eukaryota; Metazoa; Chordata; Aves; Passeriformes; Corvidae
Exons: 3
Source: RefSeq, a predicted model, not a curated record
UUCAGGUCUGAUUCUGAGAGACUGUUAGUCCAGCUGUCAACUCCUCAGCUGCCAAGGGCUAUCUUAAUGAAUCUGAUGUGUGUGGACAAGAGAAAUGGUAAGAAGCAAACAUCUUCCCUUUAACUGCAGGCCUCUAGUUAGCCCUGAAUCUUCCACGGGACAUGGAAACAGUUUUUUUCUUCA